This 496-nucleotide ribosomal RNA is filed under the name uncultured bacterium. Its description in RNAcentral is "partial 16S ribosomal RNA". It matches the Rfam family "Bacterial small subunit ribosomal RNA", at positions 28 to 507 of the family's 1533-position model. The record is from RNAcentral.
GACGAACGCUGGCGGCGUGCCUAAUACAUGCAAGUUGAGCGAUGAAGAUUGGUGCUUGCACCAAUUUGAAGAGCAGCGAACGGGUGAGUAACGCGUGGGGAAUCUGCCUUUGAGCGGGGGACAACAUUUGGAAACGAAUGCUAAUACCGCAUAACAACUUUAAACAUAAGUUUUAAGUUUGAAAGAUGCAAUUGCAUCACUCAAAGAUGAUCCCGCGUUGUAUUAGCUAGUUGGUAAGGUAAAGGCCCACCAAGGCGAGGUACCAUAGCCGCCCUGGGAGGUGAACGGGCACAACUGGAACUGGACACCGCCCAAACUCCUACGGGGAGCAGCAGUAGGGGAUCUUCGGCAAUGGGCCGAAGUCUUGCCGGACAACGGCCGGUUGGUGAAGGAAGUUCUUGGAUCGUAAAACUCUGUUUGUAGGGGAGGAAGAUGGGGGGAGGUAAAAGCUCAUCACGUGACGGUACCUACCCAGAAAGGGACGGCUAACUACGUG